This 246-nucleotide ribosomal RNA is filed under the name uncultured Variovorax sp. RNAcentral describes it as "partial 16S ribosomal RNA". It matches the Rfam family "Bacterial small subunit ribosomal RNA", at positions 1137 to 1382 of the family's 1533-position model. Lineage: Bacteria; Pseudomonadati; Pseudomonadota; Betaproteobacteria; Burkholderiales; Comamonadaceae. The record is from RNAcentral.
ACUCUAAUGAGACUGCCGGUGACAAACCGGAGGAAGGUGGGGAGUACGUCAAGUCCUCAUGGCCCUUAUAGGUGGGGCUACACACGUCAUACGAUGGCUGGUACAAAGGGUUGCCAACCCGCGAGGGGGAGCCAAUCCCAUAAAGCCAGUCGUAGUCCGGAUCGCAGUCUGCAACUCGACUGCGUGAAGUCGGAAUCGCUAGUAAUCGUGGAUCAGCAUGUCACGGUGAAUACGUUCCCGGGUCUU